This 274-nucleotide ribosomal RNA is filed under the name uncultured Prevotella sp. Its description in RNAcentral is "partial 16S ribosomal RNA". It matches the Rfam family "Bacterial small subunit ribosomal RNA", at positions 82 to 355 of the family's 1533-position model. Lineage: Bacteria; Pseudomonadati; Bacteroidota; Bacteroidia; Bacteroidales; Prevotellaceae. The record is from RNAcentral.
CCUUUGAUGACGACUGGCGCACGGGUGAGUAACGCGUAUCCAACCUUCCCAUAACUACGGGAUAACCCGUUGAAAGACGGCCUAAUACCGUAUGAUAUCGUUUGCUGACAUCAAAUAACGAUUAAAGGUUUAGCGGUUAUGGAUGGGGAUGCGUCUGAUUAGCUUGUUGGCGGGGUAACGGCCCACCAAGGCUACGAUCAGUAGGGGUUCUGAGAGGAAGGUCCCCCACAUUGGUACUGAGACACGGACCAGACUCCUACGGGAGGCAGCAGCU